RNAcentral lists this non-coding RNA (32 nucleotides) under Rattus norvegicus (Norway rat). The record is from RNAcentral. Lineage: Eukaryota; Metazoa; Chordata; Mammalia; Rodentia; Muridae.
UGGUAUGAGCGCCCUUAAAAGGCAUUCGCUGC